AAUAAUAACACCGGUGCUCAGGAAAGUCCAGAGUAAAUCCAAGGCCCUGCUGGGAAGCAGGGAGGUAUCUGGCACAGAAGGAAGGCUUUCUAUAAAGGGGGGCCAGCCGGCAUAAGGCCGAGGCCAGCGGAUGCGCUGGGAGGCAGCCGACUCCGCGGGAAGGAAAGUUCCUCUACCGACCCCGAGUCUGGUGAAAAGCGGACGCCAUUCUGUAAGGUGAAUCUGCUAACGGGAGGCAAGAAAAUUCAGGGGGCCCGAAAACCCAGCGCUGUGUCGUCGGCCGACGUUUGUUUGUCCGUGUGUUUGUCUUUGGCUCUCCGUGUUUUUGUGUGUGCCGGCAUUGUCUCUAGACUCGUUCUCUUCUGGUGCAUCGUUCUUUCUCACUUCUGACUUAUUCUCCUUCUCUUCUUCUCUGAUCUGCCCUCAACUCCUUUUCUUUUCGGGAGUUUCAGUGAACAGGCGAACGGUUGUGGGGGCAUUUGAUGAGUCCUGGCCAGGGCUACACUCUGGCGGACUCUGAAGGCCCUACAAUAAGUAAGCCUCAGUAACUAGAGCCCGACCGGGUGAAACUCUCCUUUAACAUCCCUAACUGAGGACGUGGCCUAAAAUUCUUCUUGUGGGCACGGGUCAGGCACUUAAAGGCCAUUAGGGCACCUGCCACUUGAAGACUCCCGUGAGAGGAUAAGGGGGUCACGGAACGGACUAGAAACCCCUAGGGUGCCCGCCCCCAGCAAGAAAACUUCCGUGCAACGACGCCGGCACAUAAACAGUUCCAAAAGCAUACCAUAAGCCCAACCUCUUGGCCGCCACCACUCCCGGUAGGAUUUUUGGUGGUCGUUCUCAGUGACUUCCUCUCUCUCUUCCUUACCGUUUAUUCUUUGACCAUGGGGCAGGGAGAAUCUACCCCACUUUCUCUCAUGACUGACCAUUUUUCGGAUGUCAGGGCCAGGGCCCAUAACUUGUCUUUGCUAGUCAAGAAAAGUAAAUUAAUAACUUUUUGUUCUGCAGUGGCCCGCCUUUCAGGUUGGAUGGCCUCCGGAAGGCACCUUUCAACCGUCCAUCAUACAGGCUGUGAAGGAGAAGAUUAUGGCUCCUGAUCCCUGGGGCCAUCCGAGUCAGGUCCCCUAUGUCAUGGUCUGGCAGGAUCUAGUGGAAAAUCCGCCUAAAUGGUUAAAACCUUUUGUUCACAAACUUCCUAGUUCCUCCAAUUCACAGGUCCUGGUGAUGGAGACCCCCCGGAGGAAACCAAAAAGAAAGAGGACCCAAAACCAGUCCUUCAGGAAUCAUCUUAUCCAAACCUGAUAGAUCUAGAAACGGAGAUAAGGCCUCUGCCAUAUGUGCCCUCCUUGCAAUCCCCUCCAAGGAGAGAAGCUCCCACAGGUGAACCGAGAGGAUUAAGAGGGCCAACGGGAACCGACCGUGAGGGGGGGCUGGCAUUGGGGACCCGGGGGAAAACUAAGGGAGAUAGGGGUAAGCAAGACCCUGGGGCCCCAGAGUUACCUUCAUCCACUGUUCAGGCGCUCCCCGUCCGAGUGGGACCAACUAACCCGGACGGAGAGCGAACCUAUCAGUACUGGCCCUUUUCCACGAGUGACCUGUACAAUUGGAAUACCCAAAACCCUCCUUUCUCAGAGAAACCCCAAGGCCUCAUUGACCUCUUAGAUUCCAUUUUGUUCACUCAUAAUUCCACCUGGGAUGAUUGUCAGCAGCUGUUGCAGGUGCUCUUCACCACGGAAGAAUGGGAGCGAAUUCUGGCAGAGGCGCCGAAACGGGUCCCAGGGGUCGACGGGAGGGCAACCGCCCAGCCUCAUCUUGUGGACGAGGGGUUUCCCCUGUUGCGGCCUAACUGGGAUUUUGAGCGGGUGGAAGGUAGGGAGCGUCUCCAAGUGUACCGCCAGACUCUAGUGGCUGGCCUGCAGGCUGCAGCAAGAAAGCCGACAAAUCUGGCAAAGGUAAAUUUAGUAAGGCAAGAGCCCACUGAAAGCCCGGCAGCCUUCCUAGAGAGGCUGAUGGAAGCUUUCAGGCAAUAUACACCUAUGGACCCCCAGGCUGAGGAGUCACGCGCUGCAGUUCUGUUAGCGUUCGUGAAUCAGGCAGCCCCAGAUAUUAGGAAGAAAUUACAAAAGGUAGAGGGAUUGGGAGAACAGACAAUACAGGAUUUACUGAAAGUAGCUGAAAAGGUAUUUAAUAAUAGGGAAACCCCAGAAGAAAGGGAAGAGCGAAUUCGGCGGGAGUAAAGGGAAUUAGCGGAGAAGAUCAGGAAAGAAGAUAGGGAACAUAGGGCGAGGGAAAACCGGAAGAACCAGAAGGAGCUAGCCCAGAUUCUUUUUGCGGGGAUAAAGGCCGGAACAGAAUUGAGGGAACCUCGAGACCCCCGGACGGGAGAAAAAGAAAAACCAAAAAGGCAGGCCCUAAAGAAGGAUCAGUGCGCCUACUGCAAAGAACAGGGGCACUCGGAAAACGAGUGCCCUAAGAGGGACUCAAGGAGAGGAAUGACCCAGAGAGAGAAAAUCCCCCCUGGAACUCGAGAUCUAUAUGCGGGGGAAGACAGUGACUAGGGGAGUCGAGACUCGGCACCCCUCCCCGAGUCCUGGGUAGCCAUACAUGUGGAGGGGAAACCCGUUGGCUUCAUGGUAGAUACUGGCGCCCAACACUCUGUUUUAAAUAAAAAACUGGGACCAAUGUCUAAGAAAACCAGCUUAGUGCAAGGAGCCACGGGGACAAAAAGAUAUUGUUGGACCACAGAAUGGAAAGUAAAUCUGGGGACCCACCAGGUGUCCCAUUCGUUUUUGGUGAUACCAGAAUGCCCAGCCCCUCUACUUGGAAGAGACUUGUUGACUAAAGUUAAUGCUCAGAUCCAUUUUGACCCCGGGAGAAUGUCAGUCACGGAUGGACUUGGACAACCGAUACAUGUCUUGUCCCUAGCCUUAAGAGAUGAAUACAGACUUUUUGCGCCUAAGCCCUCAGAGACCAUAGCACUAGAUGUACAACCAUGGGUCCAUAAAUAUCCAUUGGCCUGGGCAGAAACAGCAGGAAUGGGACUAGCCAAACAGAGACAUCCGGUCGUCAUCGAGCUAAAGGCCGAGGCAGUUCCUGUGAGGGUGAGACAGUACCCUAUGAGCCAAGAAGCUCGGCGGGGGAUCACUCCCCACAUUCGACGGCUCAUGGAGGCCAGAAUUCUCAGGCGAUGCCAAUCCCCACACCCCCUUACUGCCGGUGAAGAAGCCAGGGGGGACAGAUUACAGACCUGUCCAAGACCUGCGAGAAGUCAACAAACGGGUGAGUGACAUACACCCAACUGUCCCUAACCCGUAUACCCUCCUGAGCAGUUUACUGCCUGAGUACACUUGGUACACUGUGCUGGACUUGAAGGAUGCCUUUUUCAGCCUACCCCUGGCAGUUCGGAGCCAGGAGAUAUUUGCCUUUGAGUGGACUGAGGGGGAGGGCCAACCGGUAGUACAAUUAACUUGGACCCGCCUCCCACAGGGGUUCAAGAACUCCCCUACCUUGUUUAAUGAGGCUCUGAGUGAGGACCUCUAAGAAUAUCGGGCUUGCCACCCAGAGGUCAUUCUGCUACAAUAUGUAGAUGACCUUAUGUUGGCUGGAACCACAGAGGAAGCUUGCAGCCGUGCCACUGGGGACCUAUUACAGACCCUAGGCAUCUCGGGGUAUCGCGCUAGCGCAAAGAAGGCACAAAUAGCCCGGCAAGAGGUCACCUAUUUGGGGUAUAAGAUCAGGCAGGGGCAAAGGUGGCUAACCCAGGCCAUGAAAGAAACAAUAUUGCAGAUACCAGAGCCCAAAAACCCCCGCCAGGUGAGAGAGUUUCUGGGGACUGUUGGAUAUUGCAGACUGUGGAUUAUGGGGUUUGCUGAGAAGGCCCGGCCCUUAUAUGAGGGAAGUAAAGAGACCCCAAACUGGACUUGGACUGAGCCAACGAAACAGGCUUUCCAGACACUCAGACGGGCCCUACUAGAAGCCCCAGCCCUUGCCCUGCCUAACCCAAAUAAGCCAUUCCAGCUGUUUGUAGAUGAAAAGCAAGGAAUAGGAAAGGGGGUCUUGACUCAACAAUGGGGACCAUGGAAGCGGCCGGUAGCAUACCUUUCGAAGCGAUUAGACCCGGUGGCCGCUGGGUGGCCCCCUUGCCUUCGCAUCAUUGCAGCUACAGCCCUCCUCGUCCGCGACGCUGACAAGUUGACGUAUGGACAGCAACUCUCGGUUUACACCCCCCACGCCGUAGAAGGGGUUUUAAAGCAGCCGCCGGGUAAGUGGAUCUCCAAUGCCCGCUUGACACACUACCAGGCCUUGCUGCUCGAUGCCCCACGGGUGCGUUUUCAGACCCCUUGCUUCCUAAAUCCGGCCACGCUCCUACCCAACCCAGAGAAGGACAGCCCUCUCCAUAAUUGCAGUGAGAUACUGGCUGAGGCCCUGGCGGCACGAAAAGACUUAACUGAUGUACCCCUAAGCAACAGGGAGCUAGUAUGGUUCACCGAUGGGAGCAGUUAUGUAAAAGAUGGGCAAAGGAAGGCGGGAGCCGCCAUAGUUGAUGAUUCAGGGCAGACGAUAUGGGCUGAGACACUACCCCCAAACACUUCUGCACAAAAAGCAGAAUUGAUUGCCCUAACACAGGCUCUGGAGCAAGCCAAAGGGAAGAGAGUCACCAUUUUUACUGACAGCCGAUAUGCUUUCAGCACUGCCCAUAUGCAAGGUCCCAUAUACCAAGAAAGGGGAUUUCGGACAGCUGAGGGAAAAGAGGUCAAAAAUCUGCCUGAGAUUCGCAGGAUCUUGGAAGCUGUCCAACUACCCCAGGCAGUAGCUAUAGUACAUGUCCCCGGUCACCAGAAAGGAGAAGACCCUAAGGCGCAGGGCAAUCGUGCUGCUGAUGCGGCCGCUCGAGAAGCGGCUAGCCGGGACUAUGGUGCCCUCAUAUUAGCCGUGGGACUUCCACCUCCUUGUAUGGGGACCUUGCCACCAGUUCCCGAAUAUUCCCUCCCUGAUCUCGCCUGGAUCAACAAGGAUACCACCCUCCAGAAAGAUGACCAAGAUGGAUGGUACCGAGACCAAAUCAACAACCUGAUCUUGCCUGCCACCCUGGGUCGUCACCUGUGUGAACACCUGCACACAACUACACACUUGGGAGAAAAAAAGAACCUAACACUUCUCCAGACGGCCUGCCUGAGGUUCCCUCGACAAAAUGCCACUGUACGAGAGAUAAUUCAAGCCUGCGAAGCGUGCCAGCUGAUGAGGGCAGAGAAGAAGCAGCACUCGGGAACGAGGUACCGAGGGGAAAAGCCAGGGCAACAUUGGGAGAUAGAUUUCACUGAGGUAAGGCCAGGCAAGUAUGGGUACCGCUAUCUGUUGGUUCUGGUAGAUACCUUCUCGGGGUGGGUGGAAGCUUUCCCCACUAAGGGAGAGACAGCAAUACUGGUUGCUAAAAAGAUCUUAGAGGAGAUAGGGCCUAGGUAUGGGCUGCCAGUGACUAUGGGCUCUUAUAAUGGACCUGCCUUUGUGAGCCAGAUUGUACAAGGGCUGGCCCAAGCUCUGGGGACGAAAUGGAAGUUACAUUGCGAAUAUAAUCCCCAGAGCUCAGGACAGGUUGAGAGAAAGAAUCGGACCCUAAAAGAAACUUUGACAAAGUUGGCAAUAGAGACUGGCGGGGACUGGGUGACCCUCCUCCCCUUUGCACUCUUUCGGGCACAUAACACCCGUUAUAAGCUGAAUCUUACUCCUUUUGAGAUUCUGUAUGGAAGACCCCCUCCUGUGUAUCCUAUUUUCGAAGGAAAAUGUCUGACCCCCUAUUUGGGACAAUUCCAGCAAACUCUGAUAGCAUUAAGUAAGAUGCAUAACCAUGUUUGGAAAUUGAUUCGAGAGAUACAUCAGGGCCAAAACAAGAGGGCCCUCCCCUCACAUAAUAUUGGCCCAGGUGAUUGGGUUUGGGUAAAACGACACCAAUCUAAAGUAUUAGAACCUAGAUGGAAAUGCCCUUAUGUUGUUCUUCUUACCACUCCUACCGCUGUCAAGGUCGACAGGAUUGGACCCUGGGUUCACUGCAAUCACGUGUGGCAAGCCACAUCGGAAGAACAGGAAAAAGCGCGAGCAGAAUGGAAGGCGAGUCCUCACCCGUCAAAUCCUUUGAAACUGAAACUCGUCUGCCGGGAGGCCUCCUAAUUCUCCUGCUGAUGGCAGCUCUCAUCGACCCAGGAGCGACCAGUCAUAACCCCCAUCAACCUGCUAAGAUCACAUGGAAACUCAACGACGGGCAAACUCAUGAGCUGCUCAAUGAGACCUCAGGAAUCCACCCUCCAAACACCUGGUGGCCGGACCUGAACUUCGACCUCUCAAGCCUCUUGACAAAGCAGGACGGUCUCUAUGAUAAGUACUAUAGGGAUGGGAUAAAAAACCAUAGGUUGGGGUUUUGGGCUUGCCCGGGCUAUGUAAGAAAUAACUGGAAAACCUGUGGUGGCAUAGAAAACUAUUAUUGCAGGAGCUGGAGUUGUGUGACCUCUUGUGAUGGACCCCAGAGGUGGGAUGUCGGAAACAGAGAUCUAGUUAGCUUCACCUUCAAGGACCGUAGACACCAGGGGCCUCAGGUACGAGUACAAUUUAACCAGGAACGGGCGAAGAAAGAAAACCGCUGGACCUCAGGACUGACUUGGGGUUUUCAGCUUCACGUAAAUUGGCCCGGCCCCUACCCAGGCGAGCUUUUAAUCAUUAAACAGGUUAUUGAGCCGGUGCAGGUACAUAGUUUAGGUCCCAGUCUGGUCAAAGCAUUACAGGGGCAUAAGGCGACCCCCAAGCCAACCACCUUCAGACCAAGCUUGCCGGGAACAUUUAACAUCUCCUCUACCCCGAGCCUCAGAGGCAAACUGACAGAAACCCCUGGCCCUCUGGCUGUUACCAUUAGCUCAGCAAUUCAGGACCCCCUAUGGGCCUUAGUGAAUGCAGCCUUUACGGUCUUAAACCAUACCAACCCUAAUGCGACCCAGUCCUGUUGGCUUUGUUAUAAUCUUCACCCACCCUUCUAUGAGGCCAUAGGCCUCAAUGUCUCUUACCACUUAUCUUCAGGCCAGAACCCACCCCCAUGCCGAUGGGAAGAACGCAAGGUUGGCCUCACAAUGAAUGAAGUCUGGGGACAGGGACUCUGUUUGAGCACAGUGCCACGUGAUAAAACUUCCCUCUGUGCCCGGACUAUUAGUAACCUAUGCUUACACGGCAAACAUUGGAUUGUGACAGAGGUUGGGGGUUGGUGGAUUUGUUCACAUACUGGGCUAACCCCAUUUUUACAUUGUGAAGAUUUUUAACCAGAGUCAAGAAUUCUGUGUCCUGGUUGCUGUAAUGCCAAAAAUCUUAUACCACUCUGAAGAGGUUAUGUACUCACAUUGGGACCGGGAAUUGCUAAGACAAAAGAGAGAGCCAAUCAGUGCGAUCACCAUGGCAGCCUUGUUCAGUCUUGGGCUGGCAGGAGCAGGGACAGGAAUAGCUUCACUAUCUCUGCAAGGCCAAGGGUUUUCCUCCCUACGAGCCGCCAUAGAUGAAGAUAUAACUCGCACAGAAGAAUCAAUCAGCCACUUAGAGAAGUCUCUGACUUCCUUGUCUGAGGUGGUCUUGCAGAAUAGGAGAGGAUUAGACUUGAUUUUUCUCCAACACGGUGGGGUCUGCGCGGCUCUGGGAGAAGAAUGUUGUUUCUAUGCAGACCAUACAGGAGUGGUAAGAGAAUCUAUGGCAAAAGUAAGAGAAGGGCUGGCGCAACGAAAGAGGGAACGGGAGGCCCAACAGGGAUGGUUUGAGUCUUGGUUUCAACGCUCCCCCUGGCUGACCACCUUAGUUUCCACCCUCCUGGGCCCGCUUAUAGUGCUAUUAUUAACACUUACAUUUGGCCCUUGUAUUUUAAACCGGCUAAUGUCAUUUAUUAAAGAACGUCUAAAUACCAUUCAGAUUAUGGUAUUGAGGCAGCAAUAUCAGAUGGUAGCCCAGGAUGAAGAGAAAGAUUCCUCUACAGGAACAACAAGACAGGGCGGAAUGUGAGGCUGCCAGGGUUAAUACCGUGACGGGCGGCCUGGACCUAAGUUUUAGCUUCCCCCGAAAUGGUAAGAUUCCCUACCCCCAUCAGGUAACCUGGAGCCAGCCAAUCAAUAUGCGCCCAGUAAGAACAAAGGGAGAGCUGAAAAGCCCGUGAACGCCCAGGUUUGAAAAAAGCCCGCGAAAGUCUGUACCAAUAGAAUUGCUUUGCAAGCAUGUAACCAAUCCGCAUAAGCCAGCUACUAACCGCUUUUGCAUAUCUUAUAAAUUUGUGUAACAAGCUUGAGCUCGGCGCUUUCUGACCCUACACCACUGUGAUGUUUGUGGCAGAAAGCCCUGGCUCGAGACAGUAAUAAACUUCCCUUUUUUGCGAGUUGCAUUGUCUUGGAAGCCUUCUCUCUCUUCCCGCUCGGGGAUUCGGACAUCGGGCAUAACAUUUGGGGGCUCGUCCGGGAUCCCUUGACCGGGAGAAGGGAACGCUUACAGGACAAAGGGGAAGGAUAAAUAAUAACACCGGUGCUCAGGAAAGUCCAGAGUAAAUCCAAGGCCCUGCUGGGAAGCAGGGAGGUAUCUGGCACAGAAGGAAGGCUUUCUAUAAAGGGGGGCCAGCCGGCGUGAGGCCGAGGCCAGCGGACGCGCUGGGAGGCAGCCGACUCCGCGGGAAGGAAAGUUCCUCUACCGACCCCGAGUCUGGUGAAAAGCGGACGCCAUUCUGUAAGGUGAAUCUGCUACCGGGAGGCAAGAAAAUUCAGGGGGCCCGAAAACCCAGCGCUGUGUCGUCGGCCGACGUUUGUUUGUCCGUGUGUUUGUCUUUGGCUCUCCGUGUUUUUGUGUGUGCCGGCAUUGUCUCUAGUCUCGUUCUCUUCUGGUGCAUCGUUCUUUCUCACUUCUGACUUAUUCUCCUUCUCUUCUUCUCUGAUCUGCCCUCAACUCCUUUUCUUUUCGGGAGUUUCAGUGAACAGGCGAACGGUUGUGGGGGCAUUUGAUGAGUCCUGGCCAGGGCUACACUCUGGCGGACUCUGAAGGCCCUACAAUAAGUAAGCCUCAGUAACUAGAGCCCGACCGGGUGAAACUCUCCUUUAACAUCCCUAACUGAGGACGUGGCCUAAAAUUCUUCUUGUGGGCACGGGUCAGGCACUUAAAGGCCAUUAGGGCACCUGCCACUUGAAGACUCCCGUGAGAGGAUAAGGGGGUCACGGAACGGACUAGAAACCCCUAGGGUGCCCGCCCCCAGCAAGAAAACUUCCGUGCAACGACGCCGGCACAUAAACAGUUCCAAAAGCAUACCAUAAGCCCAACCUCUUGGCCGCCACCACUCCCGGUAGGAUUUUUGGUGGUCGUUCUCAGUGACUUCCUCUCUCUCUUCCUUACCGUUUAUUCUUUGACCAUGGGGCAGGGAGAAUCUACCCCACUUUCUCUCAUGACUGACCAUUUUUCGGAUGUCAGGGCCAGGGCCCAUAACUUGUCUUUGCUAGUCAAGAAAAGUAAAUUAAUAACUUUUUGUUCUGCAGAGUGGCCCGCCUUUCAGGUUGGAUGGCCUCCGGAAGGCACCUUUCAACCGUCCAUCAUACAGGCUGUGAAGGAGAAGAUUAUGGCUCCUGAUCCCUGGGGCCAUCCGAGUCAGGUCCCCUAUGUCAUGGUCUGGCAGGAUCUAGUGGAAAAUCCGCCUAAAUGGUUAAAACCUUUUGUUCACAAACUUCCUAGUUCCUCCAAUUCACAGGUCCUGGUGAUGGAGACCCCCCGGAGGAAACCAAAAAGAAAGAGGACCCUAAACCAGUCCUUCAGGAAUCAUCUUAUCCAAACCUGAUAGAUCUAGAAACGGAGAUAAGGCCUCCGCCAUAUGUGCCCUCCUUGCAAUCCCCUCCGAGGAGAGAAGCUCCCACAGGUGAACCAAGAGGAUUAAGAGGGCCAACGGGAACCGACCGUGAGGGGGGGCUGGCAUUGGGGACCCGGGGGAAAACUAAGGGAGAUAGGGGUAAGCAAGACCCUGGGGCCCCAGAGUUACCUUCAUCCACUGUUCAGGCGCUCCCCGUCCGAGUGGGACCAACUAACCCGGACGGAGAGCGAACCUAUCAGUACUGGCCCUUUUCCACGAGUGACCUGUACAAUUGGAAGACCCAAAACCCUCCUUUCUCAGAGAAACCCCAAGGCCUCAUUGACCUCUUAGAUUCCAUUUUGUUCACUCAUAAUCCCACCUGGGAUGAUUGUCAGCAGCUGUUGCAGGUGCUCUUCACCACGGAAGAACGGGAGCGAAUUCUGGCAGAGGCGCGGAAACGGGUCCCAGGGGUCGACGGGAGGCCAACCGCCCAGCCUCAUCUUGUGGACGAGGGGUUUCCCCUGUUGCGGCCUAACUGGGAUUUUGAGCGGGUGGAAGGUAGGGAGCGUCUCCGAGUGUACCGCCAGACUCUAAUGGCUGGCCUGCGGGCUGCAGCAAGAAAGCCGACAAAUCUGGCAAAGGUAAAUUUAGUAAGGCAAGAGCCCACUGAAAGCCCGGCAGCCUUCCUAGAGAGGCUGAUGGAAGCUUUCAGGCAAUAUACACCUAUGGACCCCCAGGCUGAGGAGUCACGCGCUGCAGUUCUGUUAGCGUUCGUGAAUCAGGCAGCCCCAGAUAUUAGGAAGAAAUUACAAAAGGUAGAGGGAUUGGGAGAACAGACAAUACAGGAUUUACUGAAAGUAGCUGAAAAGGUAUUUAAUAAUAGGGAGACCCCAGAAGAAAGGGAAGAGCAAAUUCGGCGGGAGGAAAGGGAAUUAGCGGAGAAGAUCAGGAAAGAAGAUAGGGAACAUAGGGCGAGGGAAAACCGGAAGAACCAGAAGGAGCUAGCCCAGAUUCUUUUUGCGGGGAUAAAGGCCGGAACAGAAUUGAGGGAACCUCGAGACCCCCGGACGGGAGAAAAAGAAAAACCAAAAAGGCAGGCCCUAAAGAAGGAUCAGUGCGCCUACUGCAAAGAACAGGGGCACUGGAAAAACGAGUGCCCUAAGAGGGACUCAAGGAGAGGAAUGACCCAGAGAGAGAAAAUCCCCCCUGGAACUUGAGUUCUAUAUGCGGGGGAAGACAGUGACUAGGGGAGUCGAGACUCGGCACCCCUCCCCGAGUCCUGGGUAGCCAUACAUGUGGAGGGGAAACCCGUUGGCUUCAUGGUAGAUACUGGCGCCCAACACUCUGUUUUAAAUAAAAAACUGGGACCAAUGUCUAAGAAAACCAGCUUAGUGCAAGGAGCCACGGGGACAAAAAGAUAUUGUUGGACCACAGAAUGGAAAGUAAAUCUGGGGACCCACCAGGUGUCCCAUUCGUUUUUGGUGAUACCAGAAUGCCCAGCUCCUCUACUUGGAAGAGACUUGUUGACUAAAGUUAAUGCUCAGAUCCAUUUUGACCCCGGGGGAAUGUCAGUCACGGAUGGACUUGGACAACCGAUACAUGUCUUGUCCCUAGCCUUAAGAGAUGAAUACAGACUUUUUGCGCCUAAGCCCUCAGAGACCAUAGCACUAGAUGUACAACCGUGGGUCCAUAAAUAUCCAUUGGCCUGGGCAGAAACAGCAGGAAUGGGACUAGCCAAACAGAGACAUCCAGUCGUCAUCGAGCUAAAGGCCGAGGCAGUUCCUGUGAGGGUGAGACAGUACCCUAUGAGCCAAGAAGCUCGGCGGGGGAUCACUCCCCACAUUCGAUGGCUCAUGGAGGCCGGAAUUCUCAGGCGAUGCCAAUCCCCACACCCCCUUACUGCCGGUGAAGAAGCCAGGGGGGACAGAUUACAGACCUGUCCAAGACCUGCGAGAAGUCAACAAAUGGGUGAGUGACAUACACCCAACUGUCCCUAACCCGUAUACCCUCCUGAGCAGUUUACUGCCUGAGUACACUUGGUACACUGUGCUGGACUUGAAGGAUGCCUUUUUCAGCCUACCCCUGGCAGUUCGGAGCCAGGAGAUAUUUGCCUUUGAGUGGACUGAGGGGGAGGGCCAACCGGUAGUACAAUUAACUUGGACCCGCCUCCCACAGGGGUUCAAGAACUCCCCUACCUUGGUUAAUGAGGCUCUGAGUGAGGACCUCUAAGAAUAUCGGGCUUGCCACCCAGAGGUCAUUCUGCUACAAUAUGUAGAUGACCUUACGUUGGCUGGAACCACAGAGGAAGCUUGCAGCCGUGCCACUGGGGACCUAUUACAGACCCUAGGCAUCUCGGGGUAUCGCGCUAGCACAAAGAAGGCACAAAUAGCCCGGCAAGAGGUCACCUAUUUGGGGUAUAAGAUCAGGCAGGGGCAAAGGUGGCUAACCCAGGCCAUGAAAGAAACAAUAUUGCAGAUACCAGAGCCCAAAAACCCCCGCCAGGUGAGAGAGUUUCUGGGGACUGUUGGAUAUUGCAGACUGUGGAUUAUGGGGUUUGCUGAGAAGGCCCGGCCCUUAUAUGAGGGAAGUAAAGAGACCCCAAACUGGACUUGGACUGAGCCAAUGAAACAGGCUUUCCAGACACUCAGAUGGGCCCUACUAGAAGCCCCAGCCCUUGCCCUGCCUAACCCAAAUAAGCCAUUCCAGCUGUUUGUAGAUGAAAAGCAAGGAAUAGGAAAGGGGGUCUUGACUCAAAAAUGGGGACCAUGGAAGUGGCCGGUAGCAUACCUUUCGAAGCGAUUAGACCCGGUGGCCGCUGGGUGGCCCCCUUGCCUUCACAUCAUUGCAGCUACAGCCCUCCUCAUCCGCGACGCUGACAAGUUGACGUAUGGACAGCAACUCUCGGUUUACACCCCCCACGCCGUAGAAGGGGUUUUAAAGCAGCCGCCGGGUAAGUGGAUCUCCAAUGCCCGCUUGACACACUACCAGGCCUUGCUGCUCGAUGCCCCACAGGUGCGUUUUCAGACCCCUUGCUUCCUAAAUCCGGCCACGCUCCUACCCAACCCAGAGAAGGACAGCCCUCUCCAUGAUUGCAGUGAGAUACUGGCUGAGGCCCUGGCGGCACGAAAAGACUUAACUGAUGUACCCCUAAGCAACAGGGAGGUAGUAUGUUUCACCGAUGGGAGCAGUUAUGUAAAAGAUGGGCAAAGGAAGGCGGGAGCCGCCAUAGUUGAUGAUUCAGGGCAGACGAUAUGGGCUGAGACACUACCCCCAAACACUUCUGCACAAAAAGCAGAAUUGAUUGCCCUAACACAGGCUCUGGAGCAAGCCAAAGGGAAGAGAGUCACCAUUUUUACUGACAGCCAAUAUGCUUUCAGCACUGCCCAUAUGCAAGGUCCCAUAUACCAAGAAAGGGGAUUUCGGACAGCUGAGGGAAAAGAGGUCAAAAAUCUGCCUGAGAUUCGCAGGAUCUUGGAAGCUGUCCAACUACCCCAGGCAGUAGCUAUAGUACAUGUCCCCGGUCACCAGAAAGGAGAAGACCCUAAGGCGCGGGGCAAUCGUGCUGCUGAUGCGGCCGCUCGAGAAGCAGCUAGCCGGGACUAUGCUGCCCUCAUAUUAGCCGUGGGACUUCCACCUCCUUGUAUGGGGACCUUGCCACCAGUUCCCGAAUAUUCCCUCCCUGAUCUCGCCUGGAUCAACAAGGAUACCACCCUCCAGAAAGAUGACCAAGAUGGAUGGUACCGAGACCAAAUCAACAACCUGAUCUUGCCUGCCACCCUGGGUCGUCACCUGUGUGAACACCUGCACACAACUACACACUUGGGAGAAAAAAAGACCCUAACACUUCUCCAGACGGCCUGCCUGAGGUUCCCUCGACAAAAUGCCACUGUACGAGAGAUAAUUCAAGCCUGCAAAGCGUGCCAGCUGAUGAGGGCAGAGAAGAAGCAGCACUCGGGAACGAGAUACCGAGGGGAAAAGCCAGGGCAACAUUGGGAGAUAGAUUUCACUGAGGUAAGGCCAGGCAAGUACGGGUACCGCUAUCUGUUGGUUCUGGUAGAUAGCUUCUCGGGGUGGGUGGAAGCUUUCCCCACUAAGGGAGAGACAGCAAUAGUGGUUGCUAAAAAGAUCUUAGAGGAGAUAGGGCCUAGGUAUGGGCUGCCAGUGACUAUGGGCUCUGAUAAUGGACCUGCCUUUGUGAGCCAGAUUGUCCAAGGGCUGGCCCAAGCUCUGGGGACGAAAUGGAAGUUACAUUGCGAAUAUAAUCCCCAGAGCUCAGGACAGGUUGAGAGAAUGAAUCGGACCCUAAAAGAAACUUUGACAAAGUUGGCAAUAGAGACUGGCGGGGACUGGGUGACCCUCCUCCCCUUUGCACUCUUUCGGGCACGUAACACCCCUUAUAAGCUGAAUCUUACUCCUUUUGAGAUUCUGUAUGGAAGACCCCCUCCUGUGUAUCCUAUUUUCGAAGGAAAAUGUCUGCCACCCCCUACUUUGGGACAAUUCCAGCAAACUCUGAUAGCAUUAAGUAAGAUGCAUAACCAUGUUUGGAAAUUGAUUCGAGAGAUACAUGAGGGCCAAAACAAGAGGGCCCUCCCCUCACAUAAUAUUGGCCCAGGUGAUUGGGUUUGGGUAAAACGACACCGAUCUAAAGUAUUAGAACCUAGAUGGAAACGCCCUUAUGUUGUUCUUCUUACCACUCCUACCGCUGUCAAGGUCGACAGGAUUGGACCCUGGGUUCACUGCAAUCACGUGCGGCAAGCCACAUCGGAAGAACAGGAAAAAGCGCGAGCAGAAUGGAAGGCGAGUCCUCACCCGUCAAAUCCUUUGAAACUGAAACUCGUCCGCCGGGAGGCCUCCUAAUUCUCCUGCUGAUGGCAGCUCUCAUCGACCCAGGAGCGACCAGUCAUAACCCCCAUCAACCUGCUAAGAUCACAUGGAAACUCAACGACGGGCAAACUCAUGAGCUGCUCAAUGAGACCUCAGGAAUCCACCCUCCAAACACCUGGUGGCCGGACCUGAACUUCGACCUCUCAAGCCUCUUCGCAAAGCAGGACGGUCUCUAUGAUAAGUACUAUAGGGAUGGGAUAAAAAACCAUAGGUUGGGGUUUUGGGCUUGCCCGGGCUAUGUAAGAAAUAACUGGAAAACCUGUGGUGGCAUAGAAAGCUAUUAUUGCAGGAGCUGGAGUUGUGUGACCUCUUGUGAUGGACCCCAGAGGUGGGAUGUCGGAAACAGAGAUCUAGUUAGCUUCACCUUCAAGGACCGUAGACACCAGGGGCCUCAGGUACGAGUACAAUUUAACCAGGAACGGGCGAAGAAAGAAAACCGCUGGACCUCAGGACUGACUUGGGGUUUUCAGCUUCACGUAAAUUGGCCCGGCCCCUACCCAGGCGAGCUUUUAAUCAUUAAACAGGUUAUUGAGCCGGUGCAGGUACAUAGUUUAGGUCCCAAUCUGGUCAAAGCAUUACAGGGGCAUAAGGCGACCCCCAAGCCAACCACCUUCAGACCAAGCUUGCCGGGAACAUUUAACAUCUCCUCUACCCCGAGCCUCAGAGGCAAACUGACAGAAACCCCUGGCCCUCUGGCUGUUACCAUUAGCUCAGCAAUUCAGGACCCCCUAUGGGCCUUAGUGAAUUCAGCCUUUACGGUCUUAAACCAUACCAACCCUAAUGCGACCCAGUCCUGUUGGCUUUGUUAUAAUCUUCACCCACCCUUCUAUGAGGCCAUAGGCCUCAAUGUCUCUUACCACUUAUCUUCAGGCCAGAACCCACCCCCAUGCCGAUGGGAAGAACGCAAGGUUGGCCUCACAAUGAAUGAAGUCUGGGGACAGGGACUCUGUUUGGGCACAGUGCCACGUGAUAAAACUUCCCUCUGUGCCCGGAGUAUUAGUAACCUACGCUUACACGGCAAACAUUGGAUUGUGCCAGAGGUUGGGGGUUGGUGGAUUUGUUCACAUACUGGGCUAACCCCAUGUUUACAUUGUGAAGAUUUUUAACCAGAGUCAAGAAUUCUGUGUCCUGGUUGCUGUAAUGCCAAAAAUCUUAUACCACUCUGAAGAGGUUAUGUACUCACACUGGGACCGGGAAUUGCUAAGACAAAAGAGAGAGCCAAUCAGUGCGAUCACCAUGGCAGCCUUGUUCAGUCUUGGGCUGGCAGGAGCAGGGACAGGAAUAGCUUCACUAUCUCUGCAAGGCCAAGGGUUUUCCUCCCUACGAGCCGCCAUAGAUGAAGAUAUAACUCGCAUAGAAGAAUCAAUCAGCCACUUAGAGAAGUCUCUGACUUCCUUGUCUGAGGUGGUCUUGCAGAAUAGGAGAGGAUUAGACUUGAUUUUUCUCCAACACGGUGGGGUCUGCGCGGCUCUGGGAGAAGAAUGUUGUUUCUAUGCAGACCAUACAGGAGUGGUAAGAGAAUCUAUGGCAAAAGUAAGAGAAGGGCUGGCGCAACGAAAGAGGGAACGGGAGGCCCAACAGGGAUGGUUUGAGUCUUGGUUUCAACGCUCCCCCUGGCUGACCACCUUAGUUUCCACCCUCCUGGGCCCGCUUAUAGUGCUAUUAUUAACACUUACAUUUGGCCCUUGUAUUUUAAACCGGCUAAUGUCAUUUAUUAAAGAACGUCUAAAUACCAUUCAGAUUAUGGUAUUGAGGCAGCAAUAUCAGAUGGUAGCCCAGGAUGAAGAGAAAGAUUCCUCUACAGGAACAACAAGACAGGGCGGAAUGUGAGGCUGCCAGGGUUAAUACCGUGACGGGCGGCCUGGACCUAAGUUUUAGCUUCCCCCGAAAUGGUAAGAUUCCCUACCCCCAUCAGGUAACCUGGAGCCAGCCAAUCAAUAUGCGCCCAGUAAGAACAAAGGGAGAGCUGAAAAGCCCGUGAACGCCCAGGUUUGAAAAAAGCCCGCGAAAGUCUGUACCAAUAGAAUUGCUUUGCAAGCAUGUAACCAAUCCGCUUAAGCCAGCUACUAACCGCUUUUGCAUAUCUUAUAAAUUUGUGUAACAAGCUUGAGCUCGGCGCUUUCUGACCCUACACCACUGUGAUGUUUGUGGCAGAAAGCCCUGGCUCGAGACAGUAAUAAACUUCCCUUUUUUGCGAGUUGCAUUGUCUUGGAAGCCUUCUCUCUCUUCCCGCUCGGGGAUUCGGACAUCGGGCAUAACAUUUGGGGGCUCGUCCGGGAUCCCUUGACCGGGAGAAGGGAACGCUUACAGGACAAAGGGGAAGGAUAAAUAAUAACACCGGUGCUCAGGAAAGUCCAGAGUAAAUCCAAGGCCCUGCUGGGAAGCAGGGAGGUAUCUGGCACAGAAGGAAGGCUUUCUAUAAAGGGGGGCCAGCCGGCGUGAGGCCGAGGCCAGCGGACGCGCUGGGAGGCAGCCGACUCCGCGGGAAGGAAAGUUCCUCUACCGACCCCGAGUCUGGUGAAAAGCGGACGCCAUUCUGUAAGGUGAAUCUGCUACCGGGAGGCAAGAAAAUUCAGGGGGCCCGAAAACCCAGCGCUGUGUCGUCGGCCGACGUUUGUUUGUCCGUGUGUUUGUCUUUGGCUCUCCGUGUUUUUGUGUGUGCCGGCAUUGUCUCUAGUCUCGUUCUCUUCUGGUGCAUCGUUCUUUCUCACUUCUGACUUAUUCUCCUUCUCUUCUUCUCUGAUCUGCCCUCAACUCCUUUUCUUUUCGGGAGUUUCAGUGAACAGGCGAACGGUUGUGGGGGCAUUUGAUGAGUCCUGGCCAGGGCUACACUCUGGCGGACUCUGAAGGCCCUACAAUAAGUAAGCCUCAGUAACUAGAGCCCGACCGGGUGAAACUCUCCUUUAACAUCCCUAACUGAGGACGUGGCCUAAAAUUCUUCUUGUGGGCACGGGUCAGGCACUUAAAGGCCAUUAGGGCACCUGCCACUUGAAGACUCCCGUGAGAGGAUAAGGGGGUCACGGAACGGACUAGAAACCCCUAGGGUGCCCGCCCCCAGCAAGAAAACUUCCGUGCAACGACGCCGGCACAUAAACAGUUCCAAAAGCAUACCAUAAGCCCAACCUCUUGGCCGCCACCACUCCCGGUAGGAUUUUUGGUGGUCGUUCUCAGUGACUUCCUCUCUCUCUUCCUUGCCGUUUAUUCUUUGACCAUGGGGCAGGGAGAAUCUACCCCACUUUCUCUCAUGACUGACCAUUUUUCGGAUGUCAGGGCCAGGGCCCAUAACUUGUCUUUGCUAGUCAAGAAAAGUAAAUUAAUAACUUUUUGUUCUGCAGAGUGGCCCGCCUUUCAGGUUGGAUGGCCUCCGGAAGGCACCUUUCAACCGUCCAUCAUACAGGCUGUGAAGGAGAAGAUUAUGGCUCCUGAUCCCUGGGGCCAUCCGAGUCAGGUCCCCUAUGUCAUGGUCUGGCAGGAUCUAGUGGAAAAUCCGCCUAAAUGGUUAAAACCUUUUGUUCACAAACUUCCUAGUUCCUCCAAUUCACAGGUCCUGGUGAUGGAGACCCCCCGGAGGAAACCAAAAAGAAAGAGGACCCUAAACCAGUCCUUCAGGAAUCAUCUUAUCCAAACCUGAUAGAUCUAGAAACGGAGAUAAGGCCUCCGCCAUAUGUGCCCUCCUUGCAAUCCCCUCCGAGGAGAGAAGCUCCCACAGGUGAACCAAGAGGAUUAAGAGGGCCAACGGGAACUGACCGUGAGGGGGGGCUGGCAUUGGGGACCCGGGGGAAAACUAAGGGAGAUAGGGGUAAGCAAGACCCUGGGGCCCCAGAGUUACCUUCAUCCACUGUUCAGGCGCUCCCCGUCCGAGUGGGACCAACUAACCCGGACGGAGAGCGAACCUAUCAGUACUGGCCCUUUUCCACGAGUGACCUGUACAAUUGGAAGACCCAAAACCCUCCUUUCUCAGAGAAACCCCAAGGCCUCAUUGACCUCUUAGAUUCCAUUUUGUUCACUCAUAAUCCCACCUGGGAUGAUUGUCAGCAGCUGUUGCAGGUGCUCUUCACCACGGAAGAACGGGAGCGAAUUCUGGCAGAGGCGCGGAAACGGGUCCCAGGGGUCGACGGGAGGCCAACCGCCCAGCCUCAUCUUGUGGACGAGGGGUUUCCCCUGUUGCGGCCUAACUGGGAUUUUGAGCGGGUGGAAGGUAGGGAGCGUCUCCGAGUGUACCGCCAGACUCUAAUGGCUGGCCUGCGGGCUGCAGCAAGAAAGCCGACAAAUCUGGCAAAGGUAAAUUUAGUAAGGCAAGAGCCCACUGAAAGCCCGGCAGCCUUCCUAGAGAGGCUGAUGGAAGCUUUCAGGCAAUAUACACCUAUGGACCCCCAGGCUGAGGAGUCACGCGCUGCAGUUCUGUUAGCGUUCGUGAAUCAGGCAGCCCCAGAUAUUAGGAAGAAAUUACAAAAGGUAGAGGGAUUGGGAGAACAGACAAUACAGGAUUUACUGAAAGUAGCUGAAAAGGUAUUUAAUAAUAGGGAGACCCCAGAAGAAAGGGAAGAGCAAAUUCGGCGGGAGGAAAGGGAAUUAGCGGAGAAGAUCAGGAAAGAAGAUAGGGAACAUAGGGCGAGGGAAAACCGGAAGAACCAGAAGGAGCUAGCCCAGAUUCUUUUUGCGGGGAUAAAGGCCGGAACAGAAUUGAGGGAACCUCGAGACCCCCGGACGGGAGAAAAAGAAAAACCAAAAAGGCAGGCCCUAAAGAAGGAUCAGUGCGCCUACUGCAAAGAACAGGGGCACUGGAAAAACGAGUGCCCUAAGAGGGACUCAAGGAGAGGAAUGACCCAGAGAGAGAAAAUCCCCCCUGGAACUUGAGUUCUAUAUGCGGGGGAAGACAGUGACUAGGGGAGUCGAGACUCGGCACCCCUCCCCGAGUCCUGGGUAGCCAUACAUGUGGAGGGGAAACCCGUUGGCUUCAUGGUAGAUACUGGCGCCCAACACUCUGUUUUAAAUAAAAAACUGGGACCAAUGUCUAAGAAAACCAGCUUAGUGCAAGGAGCCACGGGGACAAAAAGAUAUUGUUGGACCACAGAAUGGAAAGUAAAUCUGGGGACCCACCAGGUGUCCCAUUCGUUUUUGGUGAUACCAGAAUGCCCAGCUCCUCUACUUGGAAGAGACUUGUUGACUAAAGUUAAUGCUCAGAUCCAUUUUGACCCCGGGGGAAUGUCAGUCACGGAUGGACUUGGACAACCGAUACAUGUCUUGUCCCUAGCCUUAAGAGAUGAAUACAGACUUUUUGCGCCUAAGCCCUCAGAGACCAUAGCACUAGAUGUACAACCGUGGGUCCAUAAAUAUCCAUUGGCCUGGGCAGAAACAGCAGGAAUGGGACUAGCCAAACAGAGACAUCCAGUCGUCAUCGAGCUAAAGGCCGAGGCAGUUCCUGUGAGGGUGAGACAGUACCCUAUGAGCCAAGAAGCUCGGCGGGGGAUCACUCCCCACAUUCGAUGGCUCAUGGAGGCCGGAAUUCUCAGGCGAUGCCAAUCCCCACACCCCCUUACUGCCGGUGAAGAAGCCAGGGGGGACAGAUUACAGACCUGUCCAAGACCUGCGAGAAGUCAACAAAUGGGUGAGUGACAUACACCCAACUGUCCCUAACCCGUAUACCCUCCUGAGCAGUUUACUGCCUGAGUACACUUGGUACACUGUGCUGGACUUGAAGGAUGCCUUUUUCAGCCUACCCCUGGCAGUUCGGAGCCAGGAGAUAUUUGCCUUUGAGUGGACUGAGGGGGAGGGCCAACCGGUAGUACAAUUAACUUGGACCCGCCUCCCACAGGGGUUCAAGAACUCCCCUACCUUGGUUAAUGAGGCUCUGAGUGAGGACCUCUAAGAAUAUCGGGCUUGCCACCCAGAGGUCAUUCUGCUACAAUAUGUAGAUGACCUUAUGUUGGCUGGAACCACAGAGGAAGCUUGCAGCCGUGCCACUGGGGACCUAUUACAGACCCUAGGCAUCUCGGGGUAUCGCGCUAGCACAAAGAAGGCACAAAUAGCCCGGCAAGAGGUCACCUAUUUGGGGUAUAAGAUCAGGCAGGGGCAAAGGUGGCUAACCCAGGCCAUGAAAGAAACAAUAUUGCAGAUACCAGAGCCCAAAAACCCCCGCCAGGUGAGAGAGUUUCUGGGGACUGUUGGAUAUUGCAGACUGUGGAUUAUGGGGUUUGCUGAGAAGGCCCGGCCCUUAUAUGAGGGAAGUAAAGAGACCCCAAACUGGACUUGGACUGAGCCAAUGAAACAGGCUUUCCAGACACUCAGAUGGGCCCUACUAGAAGCCCCAGCCCUUGCCCUGCCUAACCCAAAUAAGCCAUUCCAGCUGUUUGUAGAUGAAAAGCAAGGAAUAGGAAAGGGGGUCUUGACUCAAAAAUGGGGACCAUGGAAGUGGCCGGUAGCAUACCUUUCGAAGCGAUUAGACCCGGUGGCCGCUGGGUGGCCCCCUUGCCUUCACAUCAUUGCAGCUACAGCCCUCCUCAUCCGCGACGCUGACAAGUUGACGUAUGGACAGCAACUCUCGGUUUACACCCCCCACGCCGUAGAAGGGGUUUUAAAGCAGCCGCCGGGUAAGUGGAUCUCCAAUGCCCGCUUGACACACUACCAGGCCUUGCUGCUCGAUGCCCCACAGGUGCGUUUUCAGACCCCUUGCUUCCUAAAUCCGGCCACGCUCCUACCCAACCCAGAGAAGGACAGCCCUCUCCAUGAUUGCAGUGAGAUACUGGCUGAGGCCCUGGCGGCACGAAAAGACUUAACUGAUGUACCCCUAAGCAACAGGGAGGUAGUAUGGUUCACCGAUGGGAGCAGUUAUGUAAAAGAUGGGCAAAGGAAGGCGGGAGCCGCCAUAGUUGAUGAUUCAGGGCAGACGAUAUGGGCUGAGACACUACCCCCAAACACUUCUGCACAAAAAGCAGAAUUGAUUGCCCUAACACAGGCUCUGGAGCAAGCCAAAGGGAAGAGAGUCACCAUUUUUACUGACAGCCAAUAUGCUUUCAGCACUGCCCAUAUGCAAGGUCCCAUAUACCAAGAAAGGGGAUUUCGGACAGCUGAGGGAAAAGAGGUCAAAAAUCUGCCUGAGAUUCGCAGGAUCUUGGAAGCUGUCCAACUACCCCAGGCAGUAGCUAUAGUACAUGUCCCCGGUCACCAGAAAGGAGAAGACCCUAAGGCGCGGGGCAAUCGUGCUGCUGAUGCGGCCGCUCGAGAAGCAGCUAGCCGGGACUAUGCUGCCCUCAUAUUAGCCGUGGGACUUCCACCUCCUUGUAUGGGGACCUUGCCACCAGUUCCCGAAUAUUCCCUCCCUGAUCUCGCCUGGAUCAACAAGGAUACCACCCUCCAGAAAGAUGACCAAGAUGGAUGGUACCGAGACCAAAUCAACAACCUGAUCUUGCCUGCCACCCUGGGUCAUCACCUGUGUGAACACCUGCACACAACUACACACUUGGGAGAAAAAAAGACCCUAACACUUCUCCAGACGGCCUGCCUGAGGUUCCCUCGACAAAAUGCCACUGUACGAGAGAUAAUUCAAGCCUGCAAAGCGUGCCAGCUGAUGAGGGCAGAGAAGAAGCAGCACUCGGGAACGAGAUACCGAGGGGAAAAGCCAGGGCAACAUUGGGAGAUAGAUUUCACUGAGAGGUUAAUGAUUCUUAUGUUCUGAGCGGCCUUAUCAGGUUAAUAAAAACGACAGUUUCCUGACAGGAGCAGAAAUCUUCCUAUUUUGCGGACUUCUAGAAGAGAGAAAUCUGCAAGGCAAAAACGAAUGGCAGGACUUUGGCCUGGAUUUCCUGAGCUUAGGAGGCUAUUUGUUGUUUGUCUUUGGCAUUUGGUCUGAAACACUUUUUUUAUACAUAUAAUUGUUUUAUUAUUGAUUUA
Molecule: RNA transcript, 22606 nt
Organism: Dama dama (fallow deer)
Lineage: Eukaryota; Metazoa; Chordata; Mammalia; Artiodactyla; Cervidae
Exons: 2
Source: RefSeq, a predicted model, not a curated record